Molecule: ribosomal RNA, 251 nt
Filed under: uncultured prokaryote
Description: partial 16S ribosomal RNA
Rfam family: Bacterial small subunit ribosomal RNA
Source: RNAcentral
UACGGAGGAUGCGAGCGUUAUCCGGAUUUAUUGGGUUUAAAGGGUGCGUAGGCUGGUAAUUAAGUCAGUGGUGAAAUACUCCGGCUCAACCGGGGAGCUGCCGUUGAUACUGGUUACCUUGAGUUUAGAUGAUGUGGGCAGAAUGUGUCAUGUAGCGGUGAAAUGCAUAGAGAUGACACAGAACACCGAUAGCGAAGGCAGCUCACAAAGCUAUUACUGACGCUGAUGCACGAAAGCGAGGGGAUCAAACA